This 301-nucleotide ribosomal RNA is filed under the name uncultured bacterium. RNAcentral's name for it is "partial 16S ribosomal RNA". It matches the Rfam family "Bacterial small subunit ribosomal RNA", at positions 509 to 808 of the family's 1533-position model. The record is from RNAcentral.
CAGUAGCCGCGGUAAUACGUAGGUCCCGAGCGUUAUCCGGAUUUAUUGGGCGUAAAGCGAGCGCAGGCGGUUAGAUAAGUCUGAAGUUAAAGGCUGUGGCUUAACCAUAGUACGCUUUGGAAACUGUUUAACUUGAGUGCAAGAGGGGAGAGUGGAAUUCCAUGUGUAGCGGUGAAAUGCGUAGAUAUAUGGAGGAACACCGGUGGCGAAAGCGGCUCUCUGGUCUGUAACUGACGCUGAGGCUCGAAAGCGUGGGGAGCAAACAGGAUUAGAUACCCGCGUAGUCCCUGUCUCUUAUACA